RNAcentral lists this ribosomal RNA (498 nucleotides) under uncultured bacterium. Its description in RNAcentral is "partial 16S ribosomal RNA". It matches the Rfam family "Bacterial small subunit ribosomal RNA", at positions 28 to 507 of the family's 1533-position model. The record is from RNAcentral.
GACGAACGCUGGCGGCGUGCCUAAUACAUGCCAGUCGAGCGGACGGAUGGGAGCUUGCUCCCAGACCGUCAGCGGCGGACGGGUGAGUAACCCGUGGGCAACCUGCCUGUAAGACUGGGAUAACUCCGGGAAACCGGGGCUAAUCCCGGAUAACUCUUUCCCUCACAUGAGGGAAAGCUGAAAGAUGGCAUCUCGCUAUCACUUACAGAUGGGCCCGCGGCGCAUUAGCUAGUUGGUGAGGUAACGGCUCACCAAGGCGACGAUGCGUAGCCGACCUGAGAGGGUGAUCGGCCACACUGGGACUGAGACACGGCCCAGACUCCUACGGGAGGCAGCAGUAGGGAAUCUUCCGCAAUGGACGAAAGUCUGACGGAGCAACGCCGCGUGAGUGAUGAAGGUUUUCGGAUCGUAAAACUCUGUUGUCAGGGAAGAACAAGUACCGGAGUAACUGCCGGUACCUUGACGGUACCUGACCAGAAAGCCACGGCUAACUACGUG